CAAGAGAAAUGCCUUUCCAUUUUAUAUAUUACAUUAUUCUUAUCUGUUGAUGCUGAUCAUCAUGAGAGCAGCAUCAAUAAUACAGGGUAAAUAAUAUAUACAGUAAUAUACAGUCAUUUGCAACAAAUUAUAGGAUCCAAAAGGAAUGAGAUAUACAAAUUUGGAAGAAUCAACUUCAUAAAUUUUCCUUCUGUGUUAAAAAUAUUAGUAAAUACCAUAGUGAGACAAGCGAUUUCAGUCAAUCAAUAAAAAUGAAUUAAACAAGCAGUGCAAAUAAGGAAGAUGAGACAAGUAUUAAGAUCUAAACACGCCUUGAAAAGCAUAAAAC
RNAcentral lists this long non-coding RNA (328 nucleotides) under Lotus japonicus. RNAcentral's name for it is "long non-coding RNA (LJAP_LNC000133)". The record is from RNAcentral. Lineage: Eukaryota; Viridiplantae; Streptophyta; Magnoliopsida; Fabales; Fabaceae.